UGGGUACGAGAGGUGGCAACUCCCAAUAUCCUUUUGGGGUCAUCUUUAACGUCCUCUCCGAUCUCAAUUAUUGAAUUUUCUAAAGCAGUGUUUGAUUCGUUCUUCUCUUUUUGGGUUCAUUAAUACUAUUUUUAAUUACUCUAUUUAUUUGGCUUUGUCAACUUCUGCUCGUAUCUAGUGUAGUAAGUAUAUUUAUGGGACAAUAGGUCUAAUAUACCCACUAGAGUUCCAAAUUAGUCCAAUAUCCAUGGGUUUGGAUAAGGACAAAAGCAGUAUCAUUUUAGUAAGAGAGUGGCGAAACUGCUCCUGCUUUAUGUUGAAAUAGAUGUGCCGAUCGUACAAAGCGUGUGUGUCAGACUGCAGCAAAUCUGUUGGUGGGAGAGUUGUUCUGAGGAGUAGGGAUGAUGGUAAGGGGCGAUGCAGAAGACGGUCCGUUGGACAAAGAAGAGCUUCGUACUAGAUGUGAUUCAUCCAAACCAAUUCAUUAGAGAGAUUUGCGUGGUAGAGGAUGUCUUCAAGUGCCCGAGGAGGUGUUGAUGACCAUCUGCACCCGUGAGCAAAUGGAAGAAAUCCGUAGGAACUCUCUCAGUCUUAUGAGAAGUGAUAUUACCCAGCCUCUUGUCCAAUCUGAAACAGACUCAAAUGGAUGUUUUCACUCCAACAAGAGAUGGAUAAUCAGGCUUGAGGAAGUUGCCAGCGAACCUCCAUGGCAAAAAAGUCUCACAUUAGCCUUAGCUGCUACUGAUGGAAUUGCUGGAGGGCGUUUUGAGUCAACUAACAAGGGGAAAGAAAAAAGUCACAGAUCCAGUAACUGGUGGAAGUCAGUUCUUGAAUUGCAGAUGAGUUCCGGUUAUGUGGAUCCCGGCUUGGGUACUUGGGUAGGGCUGACAUGGGGCCAAAAAUUGGUGAGGUUGAGGAUUGUGUGAUACUUGAGGGUGAUGACAUGAGCAAGGUCACGCAGCACUUUGUUAAGGGCACGCAGCACUUCGUUAAUGUGGCCGUCAGCCUCUUCGGCAUAAGUGUUGUUGGAGGGAUAAUCCCUUCUGUCUGCCGAAGGUGGUUCAUCAGUCUGUUCGUCGCCAUCAACCGUCUGGUCAGCACUCCCUUCGCUAUGGUUUGAUUUACCAAUGAAAUCAAUUAACCCCUUAAGCACUGACGACCACCUACAAAUUCAAGAAUUGAGAGUGUAUUAGAAAAGACAGCGAGACGAUAAGCAAUGCAAUACCAUUUCUGUAUUUAUUAUCCCAUAUAAUAAUGUUUAAAAGGGAUGUAUUCAAUAUAACAUUUGAGGUGAUUUAAUUUUUAAUGGAGUUUUAAAUGAUUUCAGUAAAAGUUGCAGAGAUUUAGGUGAUUUAUGUCAAAUCACUCUAGAAUAUAACCUAAAACUAUGAGAUUUGAGUUUUAUUUUUUUAAACUAAAAAACUCCAUCCAAACACCUUAAAAUCACCUGAAAACUUUAAAAUUCCACAACUUAAAAUAUUUUCAAUAACAGUAGAUUUUAGAGUACUCUACGAAAUGUUAAGUUCAAUAAAAGUGGAUUUUAAAUAAGUUUUUAAAAUUCAUGUUUGAAUAACAGUUGAUUUGUCAUUUUAAUACAAAUCACCUAAAAUAAUUUAUCAUUUUAAUGUAAAUCACCUAAAACUCUCAGUUGAAUACAACCCCCUAAGUGUCCCUUCAGGAACCGAACAUCCGGUAAACUAAAUAUUACCAUAGAAUAUGAUGGGCGACUUAGGCGUAUACAUCCGUUAGUUUUUGUUUGUUUAUGUGACAAAUAAAAAAGAUCGUUACUAGUUUAAGAUUUAAACAUUUAAGUCUAAAACUUGAACUCUAAAUUUUAUAAAAAUAGACCCUAAGCCUUUAAAACUAAAGUUUGAGCUUUGAAUCUUUGAUCCUACCUACCUCCUAACCUAAUCGCUACCUAUAGCCUAAACAAAAUGGUUCG
RNA transcript from Brassica napus (rape), 1942 nucleotides. RefSeq lists it as uncharacterized. The transcript has 4 exons. NCBI's taxonomy places the organism in Eukaryota, Viridiplantae, Streptophyta, Magnoliopsida, Brassicales, Brassicaceae. The record is from RefSeq and is a predicted model, not a curated record.